Molecule: non-coding RNA, 30 nt
Filed under: Rattus norvegicus (Norway rat)
Lineage: Eukaryota; Metazoa; Chordata; Mammalia; Rodentia; Muridae
Source: RNAcentral
UCAUAUGCACCCCAAAGGACUUUACUUAGU